This 253-nucleotide long non-coding RNA is filed under the name Rosa chinensis. RNAcentral's name for it is "sRNA RchiOBHm_Chr1g0325011". Lineage: Eukaryota; Viridiplantae; Streptophyta; Magnoliopsida; Rosales; Rosaceae. The record is from RNAcentral.
GGUACUCAUGUCGCUUGGCCUCGACAUCUUGUUUUAAUGUCACAUGAAGAGAACUCAAUGAGCACUUGGAAGUCUUCAAGUAAAACACCACGCAAACAAGCAGCAUACAAGAUGCCUGUGUCCGUGCAUCUUCUACUGCGUUUGGCAAGAACAAUGGAUGAAUCUAUAGCAGUGUCAGUCCCAAUGGAAGAAGGUGUGUUUGGCAAUGACCACAAUACAUUCAUAAACGGUAACGACAUCAUCCAGUUUUGUU